This is a long non-coding RNA of Frieseomelitta varia, 1859 nucleotides long. RefSeq lists it as uncharacterized. The record is from RefSeq and is a predicted model, not a curated record. The transcript has 3 exons. NCBI's taxonomy places the organism in Eukaryota, Metazoa, Arthropoda, Insecta, Hymenoptera, Apidae.
AAUUAUUAUUGAUGAAUAAUGAAUAGGAAGUAUAUAUGCAUUAUAAAUGGCAUAAUGGUGCAAUAUACAUUAAAAAUUUACUUUUUAAUAUAUAUUAAAUGCAUAUAUUUAUAUUGCAGCUGUGUGAUACUUAUUUGUAGCAGUUUUAGCUGUAAUUAUUAUUGAUGAAAACGUUACUGAACCUGUGGAAAGUUUGGACUUGAGGAUUAGACUUUCAAGAUAACAUAGCGUUUCUAAAUUAGAGUUCUACAUUUUCUCGUAGAAAUUGAAGAGAUGAAUGUGAGUGAUAUAUUUUGCACAUUUAUGAAACUUCGCCAUUUUUCUAAACUGUCAGUAUAAUGGAUGGCAGUAUAAAAGACCCGGAAAAAGAGCGUCCUACAUUUAAUAUAUCUGGACACGGUAUAGUGAAACGUGCAUGUGGGAUGCACGCACAGUUUAUCAUACGCCCACUGAAUUCGUCGCGUUACACCAUCACUGAAAUUACUGUAAACGCGUCAGCAGUGUCUGCGUCGCUUUCUUCGAAUAAGAACAAUGCGAACAAAUGCAAAUUAACUAAUUGACCGUUCAGCCGUUACAUACGUGCAUAUACAGAUCAUUUUCGCAGUUUCAAAAGAAAAAGGAAGGACUAAUGUCUUUUUUUCUUUUUAUUCUAAAUUUAAUGUCAGUCACUAAACUAAGAUUUUUCUCAUUUUUAUCAUUGUCAGUUGAUUUUGGAAAAAGUGAUCACUUUCUCAGAAGUUUGUUGUACAGUAUAAACAAUGCUGUGAAAUCGGGAAAUAAAUUUAAGAUAGCACAUCCGAGAUUCUGAUCCGUAAUUAACGGGUCUCCCUAGAGAGAGAGCAAUCAUCAGCACAAUAGGAAUGAUGAACAGGGACAAGUUGCUACAUCUUUCAUCAAGCGGAAUCGCGUUCCAACGCGUAACGGGUUUCCUCUCUCUCUCUCUUUUCCUCAUGCUCUUCCCGUGGCAUUCCAGCAGCUUUUGUCGAGGUUGUACCACAAUCUCGAUUGCUGUAUUUGGCAUUAGCAUUUUGUUACUCGCACUUUCGUGCAAGCUUUCGUUGUCACGGACGAAACGGAACUGGUGCCUCGAGGAAUAUCUGCUGCGCUAUCAGAAACAUUUCCGGAGAACACCUAUGACUGACUAUUUCCCUGCAUGAUUCAACGUCAAAUAUAUGAAAAAGCUAUAUGAUAACGAUUGACAUUUACGAACACUCUAAGAAGCAUCACUGCGUAGUAAUAAGUAAAAUAAUACAAUCAAGAUUUAAUUGCAAAGAACAAACUGGAACAGGAAGAAAUCAGAGAAUAUAUGGAACGAACAGUCAUCUUUAUUAAUGCGUGGGUGGACAAAACGCAUUCAACGACCUGAAGCAACUUUCUGUUGCCUGCAAGACCAUCGUCCAAGGUCCCUCGGUGACCAUAAUAUUCGUCUCUAGCGUGUUCGUGACCGUGACCACCUCCUAACUCGGUGACUGGUACACGAAACAGAAACGCAUGUACUGUUCAUCGGGAUGACCCACUUCGAGCAACUUGUUUUCGGGGUUUUAUUCUUGAGAAUCGUUUAUUCGGCUACAUCAGGUUCAUGAAUCAUUCGCUUUUCCAUGGUCAACGGAGAGAAUCGUAAUAAUAUUCAUCGCUGACAUUCCUCCUCGACCUUUUUUUUUCUUUAUCGUGCCUCUGUCAAUGGUUCAUUGUAUUUAUUGGGGUCGUCGAAGGGUCUCUGAUCAAUUAUUUCAGUGAAGUAUCUCUCUUGUUGACCCUUUUUUCUCUUGUCUGUUCACACUGUAUCGUGCGAUAUAUAUAUAUAUACAUACAAUCAUGUGAAUUCGCAUUUUUGUAAAUUAAAAAAACGAGCAAUUUUU